GAUGAACGCUGGCGGCGUGCCUAAUACAUGCAAGUCGAGCGAACAGACGAGGAGCUUGCUCCUCUGACGUUAGCGGCGGACGGGUGAGUAACACGUGGAUAACCUACCUAUAAGACUGGGAUAACUUCGGGAAACCGGAGCUAAUACCGGAUAACAUGUUGAACCGCAUGGUUCAACAGUGAAGGACGGUCUUGCUGUCACUUAUAGAUGGAUCCGCGCCGCAUUAGCUAGUUGGUAAGGUAACGGCUUACCAAGGCAACGAUGCGUAGCCGACCUGAGAGGGUGAUCGGCCACACUGGAACUGAGGCACGGUCCAGACUCCUACGGGAGGCAGCAGUAGGGAAUCUUCCGCAAUGGGCGAAAUCCUGACGGAGCAACGCCGCGUGAGUGAAGAAGGUCUUCGGAUCGUAAAACUCUGUUAUUAGGGAAGAACAAAUGUGUAAGUAACUAUGCACGUCUUGACGGUACCUAAUCAGAAAGCCACGGCUAACUACGUG
Molecule: ribosomal RNA, 497 nt
Filed under: uncultured bacterium
Lineage: Bacteria
Description: partial 16S ribosomal RNA
Rfam family: Bacterial small subunit ribosomal RNA
Source: RNAcentral